ACAGCCCAGCCUAACAGGAGCUCAAUGACGGCAUCAUAAGAUAAUUACCCUUUAAGUGCUGACUGCACAUCCCUACAGCAUCAGCCUUGGGAUAAUGGUGAAGAAGUGUUAGAGGAAUACAUAAUUUCAAUGAUGAGCUGCAGCAAUAUGCCUGCAGUAAAAAAUACAAUGAAGCUGGACCUCAGAAAAAAAUGAGAUUGUAUUCUAGGUGAUCCUUCUGCAGCUGUAUGUAUAUAUAGCAGACAAGGUAAGUAGCUGCCUCCCGAAUCACUUACUGAACGUGUGUGAAGAGCAAUACACAAAGAAAGCCUUCAAGUGUUCUCUAAAAGAUUCAGAAUGUUUUUGUUAGUUAUACAAGGCAUACCUGGCCUGGUUGUUUCAUUUCUUAUGUGCACGUUAGUUUUGAAUUAAAAAUGUGAAACACAUUUGAAGUCUAAAUUUAAAUGCUACGGACAGUAGAUAGCAAGGAUUCGUGCCCAGUGAGCCCAGCUAACUGCCAAUAUUCCCAA
Molecule: long non-coding RNA, 509 nt
Filed under: Anolis carolinensis (green anole)
Lineage: Eukaryota; Metazoa; Chordata; Lepidosauria; Squamata; Anolidae
Description: lncRNA (ENSACAG00000042641.1)
Source: RNAcentral